AACGGCAGCGCGGGGCAACCUGGCGGCGAGUGGCGAACGGGUGAGUAAUAUAUCGGAACGUACCCAAGAGUGGGGGAUAACGUAGCGAAAGUUACGCUAAUACCGCAUACGAUCUAUGGAUGAAAGUGGGGGAUCGCAAGACCUCAUGCUCCUGGAGCGGCCGAUAUCUGAUUAGCUAGUUGGUGAGGUAAAGGCUCACCAAGGCGACGAUCAGUAGCUGGUCUGAGAGGACGACCAGCCACACUGGAACUGAGACACGGUCCAGACUCCUACGGGAGGCAGCAGUGGGGAAUUUUGGACAAUGGGCGCAAGCCUGAUCCAGCAAUGCCGCGUGAGUGAAGAAGGCCUUCGGGUUGUAAAGCUCUUUUGUCAGGGAAGAAACGGUGGGAGCUAAUAUCUCYUACUAAUGACGGUACCUGAAGAAUAAGCACCGGCUAACUACGUGCCAGCAGCCGCGGUAAUACGUAGGGUGCAAGCGUUAAUCGGAAUUACUGGGCGUAAAGCGUGCGCAGGCGGUUUUGUAAGUCUGUCGUGAAAGCCCCGGGCUCAACCUGGGAAUUGCGAUGGAGACUGCAAGGCUUGAAUCUGGCAGAGGGGGGUAGAAUUCCACGUGUAGCAGUGAAAUGCGUAGAGAUGUGGAGGAACACCGAUGGCGAAGGCAGCCCCCUGGGUCAAGAUUGACGCUCAUGCACGAAAGCGUGGGGAGCAAACAGGAUUAGAUACCCUGGUAGUCCACGCCCUAAACGAUGUCUACUAGUUGUCGGGUUUUAAUUAACUUGGUAACGCAGCUAACGCGUGAAGUAGACCGCCUGGGGAGUACGGUCGCAAGAUUAAAACUCAAAGGAAUUGACGGGGACCCGCACAAGCGGUGGAUGAUGUGGAUUAAUUCGAUGCAACGCGAAAAACCUUACCUACCCUUGACAUGGUCGGAAGCCUGAAGAGAUUCGGGUGUGCUCGAAAGAGAACCGACACACAGGUGCUGCAUGGCUGUCGUCAGCUCGUGUCGUGAGAUGUUGGGUUAAGUCCCGCAACGAGCGCAACCCUUGUCAUUAGUUGCUACAUUUAGUUGAGCACUCUAAUGAGACUGCCGGUGACAAACCGGAGGAAGGUGGGGAUGACGUCAAGUCCUCAUGGCCCUUAUGGGUAGGGCUUCACACGUCAUACAAUGGUACAUACAGAGGGCCGCCAACCCGCGAGGGGGAGCUAAUCCCAGAAAGUGUAUCGUAGUCCGGAUCGCAGUCUGCAACUCGACUGCGUGAAGUUGGAAUCGCUAGUAAUCGCGGAUCAGCAUGUCGCGGUGAAUACGUUCCCGGGUCUUGUACACACCGCCCGUCACACCAUGGGAGCGGGUUUUACCAGAAGUAGGUAGCUUAACCGCAAGGGGGGCGCUUACCACGGUA
RNAcentral lists this ribosomal RNA (1400 nucleotides) under Massilia jejuensis. RNAcentral describes it as "16S ribosomal RNA". It matches the Rfam family "Bacterial small subunit ribosomal RNA". Lineage: Bacteria; Pseudomonadati; Pseudomonadota; Betaproteobacteria; Burkholderiales; Oxalobacteraceae. The record is from RNAcentral.